RNAcentral lists this long non-coding RNA (17598 nucleotides) under Nicotiana tabacum (common tobacco). RNAcentral's name for it is "long non-coding RNA (NTAB_LNC008176)". The record is from RNAcentral. Lineage: Eukaryota; Viridiplantae; Streptophyta; Magnoliopsida; Solanales; Solanaceae.
UCGAAGUUGUUAUAAUCGGGUCACAUGAAAUGCACCCCAAAUUUGGGAAUUAGGCAUCGUAACUAUGUCACGGGACCGUACCCACAAUCACGAUAAAUUAUUAAUCGUGCCUAAGGCAAGCUAUGAUGUUUGUGAUUUAUCUCCUAAAAUUAAUAUGAAAUCAAGCAUAACUCUGAUUUUUGGGUAUGGAAUUAUUAUGAAAGAAAUAUAUAUUUGCAACCACAUAAUAAGAGGGCAUAUCACUUUAACUUCAUUUCUAUCCGGCAGAAUUAUUCAACCAUGCUAAUUGCUCAAUUUGUCAUGAGACAUCUACGACGAACCUUGAUGUAAUUGUACUACUAAUAUGACGGGAAUAUGUAAAACAUGAAAGUAUAGGUGUGAUUGUAUAUUAAGUUCAAUUUACAACAUAAAACCAAAGUUAUCCACCUUGGUACACAUUACACGUCAUUUUUUCCCUUUUUUUUUGAAUGAGCUUAAUGGCGUUACAUUGGCUAGAAGCUCUUAACGGAAAACAAACCAAGUAAUAAUGAAAAGUCAAGUAAAGCUUUAGUUUUCAUGUAGAAAGUUUCAAUUUACAGCACGGAGACCUCCUAUUAUAGGAUUACAAGAUUAAAACAACGAGAAAAUUUCUCUUUACAAAGGCAUCCUUUUACUUUCUGAUUAAAAUUAACAUAGAUGACAUUUAUUUCAUACUAAAACUAAACCAAGAUCGACAAACUCACAGUACACAACAGAUGAAUCAGAGAGCAAUCAUAGCUUCAUAUUAAUAGAUUUUAUAAUAGUUUGAGUAGAAACCAUACCUAACUGCUCGAAGCUUCAACUUAGAGGAAGAGAAAGCCAAAUAGAGGCUAGAACAGCUAAUUAGAGUCCCACUAUGCAGAGAACAGCAAAAUCAACAGCGUUUUUUAACCCAAAAUGUUUAGAAAACCAGAAACAUGGAGAUAAACUGCAGCAAACUCAAUCAAUUCAGAAAAUAUCCUUCCUGCCCUCUUUCUUUUAUUUAUGUUUUCUUCUUCUUUUGUGGAAUUUCAGUGCUCUAAAUCAGAGAGUGCUCCCUUUCUUUUGCUCUUGUGUGUGGGUGUGGAUCUAUAAGAGAAGAGUGAGUGAGAUGAAUUUCGGGAGGUCAGUGAAGGUCGGUAGAGUCGCGUGAGAGGAGGUGAGCGAGUUCCCUGAUUUUUGUGUGUGUUUUUCUAUGGAAAAUGAAUAAGAAGAAGAAAGAAGCUCUCUGUGUUGUGCGUUUUUUUAGGGGUAGAGAAAUCUGAUCUUUUAACUUGGAUAAAUGAAGUAGAAGAUGAAGAAGAGCUCUUCUCUCAUUUUUGCUUGGGAGCCCAUUCCUACAAAAAAUCUGAUGUGUGUCUUAUGCCUAGAGAAUGAUGAAGAUUGGGUGGAGGAAAUAUUUUUGGGGAGAGUGGGGAAAGCGGGGAGAGUGGGGAAAAGUGGGAAUAAAUUCAAACAUAGUCAAAAAUUAGAUGCUCACAGUUGCCCCUCUUUGUUUGGAAACAUGAAGAGUUUUCAAACAAAGAUAAGGUGAGCCAUGUGACUAAUUUUUUAACAAAUCCCUUUUUUCAAAAGAGAAAAUAAACAAAGGAAAGGGUGCAACCGAGUCCUGAUUUUGGACAACCUACAUAUCUUGGGUCAUAAGGGAAUCAAGUCGCGUGUAGUUCUGGAAGUUUUGGUAGCUGGGACUACCGGGAAGCUAUGAUUUCGCUGCUGUUUCUGCUUGCUGAGCUCCUUAUUACACAUAAAUAAAAAAUAAAAAACUAAACUAGCUAAGCCUGUCAACUACGAGUUACAAGAUUCCUAUCUAUAUAUCUUCUAAAGCUUGAUGUUGAGCCUUGGCUGGUUCUUCCUGCAGAAUCUGAUCUGAAUCUUGCUGCUCGUUAGCUACAUGUGCUAGUUCUUUCAUCUUCAACUUUUCGGAUCAAGAUGGGACUUGGAAAGAUUGUGAUUUCAAUCACGUCUUGAGCAGUCCAUAUCUUUUCUCCACUUUCGCACAUUGAGUUUACUUCUUUUUAAUCUUUUUCUUCUUUUCUUUAUUCUUGAUUGAGACUCAUUCUUUUGGUCACCUCAAACCCUGUGCCUCGAGGUAAAACCUGCUCAGACACCAAAACGAACAAACAAACGAAUUUUUUCUGCCCCAGUUUUUACUAGAAAAAUUUCGUGAGUUUUUUGUAACUAAAAUCUAAACUAUUUCUUUAAUUGAAAGCGAUAAAAUAAGGAUUGUGUAUCCUUGGGAAAGAGAUUAGGGAGUGGAGCCCUAUAUCUACACUAAAAAUCAACCAGGGAGUGGAGACCCUGUGUUAGCAAAAGGCGACUAAGGGAUGGAGACCCUAUGUCUAAAAAUCUCAACCCNNNNNNNNNNNNNNNNNNNNNNNNNNNNNNNNNNNNNNNNNNNNNNNNNNNNNNNNNNNNNNNNNNNNNNNNNNNNNNNNNNNNNNNNNNNNNNNNNNNNNNNNNNNNNNNNNNNNNNNNNNNNNNNNNNNNNNNNNNNNNNNNNNNNNNNNNNNNNNNNNNNNNNNNNNNNNNNNNNNNNNNNNNNNNNNNNNNNNNNNNNNNNNNNNNNNNNNNNNNNNNNNNNNNNNNNNNNNNNNNNNNNNNAGUGGAGGCCCUAUGUCUAAAAAUCUCAACUCAGGGAUCAGAGCCCUAAUGUUGGCAAAAAGGCAAAAGAUUGAUAUUGUGGCUUCUAAACUGCCCUUCUUCUUUUUUUCUUGUUCUUUUUUUUUCCUUUUUUUUAUCUAUUUUCUUUCAGUUCAAUUCAUUUUUUAGUAAAAAAAUGCAGGAAAGAAUUUGGAGGAGACUUCCCUUUUGGGUUGAUUAUUGUUGCAAAGCUGUUUCUAGCGCUUGCACAUUUAUUUUUCCAUUUUGGUUGCACCUGCUUCUUGCAUGGUUGCUUUGGAUUGCACUUGUUUCACUUUUUCAAAUAAAGAACAAUUGUUAGUUUGAAACAGUGGUUGGUUUCGUGGCCUUGACUGUUUUGAUCACUUGAUCGCGGCCCAACUCUUCUAGUGAGAACCUCUGCCGUUUGCUGGAUUUUCUGAAGAUUUAUCUCUCUCCUUAAACCAAGGAACUCAAAUUUCCAAACUUUCCAUAUGACGCUUCAACCACGUGGGGCUUUGGUCUUUUCACCUUAUUUUGCCGCUAGGGGCUUUUGAUCUUGGAUUUCUUUUCAUUUUCAAUGAUUUUGAUUUCAAAGCAUCGGCCAUCAUGGUCAAUCGGGAUCGACUUGAUGCUCCUGUUGAGGCUGGGUACUUUUCUUUGGACUUUGAUUUUGUUAAGUAGAACCCGGUAAGACCAAUCUUGCCACCUUUUCUUUGUAUUAGUUUUAGAACAGAGUUAGACCAAAAGGGAUUCAAAGAAAAUAAAACAAAGGACAAGAAAAGUGAAUUUAAGGAGAAGUGUCCCUUUCAGGGAAGAAGAAAAAGAAUUAUCUGGAGCGCAUGCGGACUUCAAUAGAUAUGACAUGCUUCUUGGACUAGAUACCUGAUCUUCACAACUAUCCAACUUCUUAUAAACCCAUUGCGACCCGUGUUUUAAAACCAAGAAAUUUUGCCAGGACUCUUUCAGUACCAAUGGUAGUGAGGGGUUUCUUCUUCAAUUAACAACGCCCUUUGCGGGUUUUCGCCAAUCGACCUCUCUCAUUUCUCUUCUCACCGUUGCCUUAUAGUGUUCUUUACGAGUUUUCACUAACAAGACUCUCUCGUUUUUCAAUUUCUCUGCUCACCAUCACCUUACGGUGCCCGUAGGUUUUCACCAAUAAAACUCUCUCAUUUUAUUUCUCUUAUCUUGAUUGCAUUGAAUCCAAACAACUGGGUUCUCCGAUUUUGAAAACCUUUCGCCGAUUGAUCGGAAGGACUUGAACAAGGUUUGGGUAAAAAGAGUUGGAUCGAAUUACAACUUUGGAACCAUUCAGGCGGGAUCAUCGCCGAACCAUUAUAACAUCUGCCCAGUUUCACUUUUGGGGAAAAUUUGAUUUUUGUUUUGGUGUAACUGAACCCCAGGAGAGAGGCUGCCUACGUAUCCUUUUGGAAUCAAGUCGAACGUAGUUCAGGGAAACAUGUUUUUUGUUUCUUUUUUUUCUUUCCUUUUUUUGAGUUUUAAAGAGGGUAAUGAAAGAAAAGUAACCGGCUCAAAGGGUUAGCAAAAGGAUUGGAGUGUUUGGGGUAGCAAGAAUGAAAGCCUUUGUCAUCCCAGUCGGAUAGUGCUAUUGCUGUAGAAGGACUAGACAUAGUAUCUUUUGAUCGCGUCUGCGUUCACAGCUGCCUCGGGGUCGUUUCCUUUGAUAUCUUCCAGAUAUAACGCUCCUCUUAGUAAUAUCUUUCAGAUAAUGUAUGGGCCUUUCCAGUUAGGAGAAAAUUUCCCUUUUGCUUCCUAAUGAUGAGGAAGAAUACGCCUUAAAAUAAGUUGUCCCACUUCAAAUUUUCUGGGCCGUACUUUCUUAUUGUAAGCACAGGCCAUUCUUUGUUGGUACAACUGCCCGUGGCAGACUGCGGCCAUUCGCUUUUCAUCAAUCAGGGUUAACUGUUCCAGACGGUCUUUGACCUACUCACUAUCUUCAAUUUCAGCUUCAACAAUGAUCCGGAGAGAAGGGAUUUCAACUUGCGCGGGUAUUACGGCUUCAGUGCCAUAAACCAAAAGGUACGGGGUUGCUCCGACCGACGUGCGCAUAGUAGUACGAUACCCUAACAAUGCAAAAGGCAACUUUUCAUGCCACUGCUUGGAACUUUGAAUCAUCUUUCUCAAAAUCUUUUUGAUGUUCUUGUUUGCUGCUUCGAUGGCACCUUUGGCUUUAGGCCGAUAAGGAGUAGAGUUCUGAUGCGUUAUCUUGAAUUGUUCGCAUAUCUCCCCCAUCAAAUGACUAUUCAAGUUUGCAGCAUUGUCUGUGAUAAUAGUUGCAGGAAUUCCAAAACGGCAGAUAAGAUUGGAGUGCACGAAAUCUACCACAGCUUUCUUGGUGAUAGAUUUGAGAGUGAUUGCUUCAACCCAUUUCGUGAAAUAGUCGAUGGCGACCAAUAUGAAUCUGUGCCCAUUUGCGGCUUUUGGAUCGAUUGGCCCACUGACGUCCAUGCCCCAAGCAAUAAAUGGCCAAGGCGCUGACAUGGGAUGCAGUUUUGUGGGAGUUGCAUGAAUCAAAUCACCGNNNNNNNNNNNNNNNNNNNNNNNNNNNNNNNNNNNNNNNNNNNNNNNNNNNNNNNNNNNNNNNNNNNNNNNNNNNNNNNNNNNNNNNNNNNNNNNNNNNNNNNNNNNNNNNNNNNNNNNNNNNNNNNNNNNNNNNNNNNNNNNNNNNNNNNNNNNNNNNNNNNNNNNNNNNNNNNNNNNNNNNNNNNNNNNNNNNNNNNNNNNNNNNNNNNNNNNNNNNNNNNNNNNNNNNNNNNNNNNNNNNNNNNNNNNNNNNNNNNNNNNNNNNNNNNNNNNNNNNNNNNNNNNNNNNNNNNNNNNNNNNNNNNNNNNNNNNNNNNNNNNNNNNNNNNNNNNNNNNNNNNNNNNAAAUCACCGUACGCACCCUGACACUGAUGACAUUUCCGAACCAAACUGAAGCAGUCUUUUUCCAUGGUCAUCCAGUAAUAACCUGCUCGAAGGAUUUUCUUUGCCAAAACAUACCCCUUCAUGUGGGGUCCGCACACUCCUGCGUGCACUUCGUACAUGAUUCUUCCGGCUUCUUCGGCAUCAACAAAUCUUAACAAGUUGAGGUCCGGGGUCCUUUUGUAUAAGACAUCACCACUAAUAAAGAAAUCACUUGUAUGCCGUCUAAUGGUUCUCUUUUGGUCUCCGCUGGCUUGCUCGGGGUAUUCUUUGGUUUUCAAAAAUCUUUUGAUGUCAUGAUAUCAUGGCUGAAUAUUUGGUUCCGCCUCAACCAUAUUACAGUAGCCAUGCCUUUCCCUGAUUUGGAUUUCCAAGGGAUCAAUAUGGGCAUUACCUGGUUAUGGCAGCAUCGAGGCCAAAGUAGCAAGUGCAUUGGCCAGUUCAUUGUGACAACGAGGGAUGUAUCUGAACUCUAUUGACUUGAACCGCUUGCUAAGAUCUUCUAUAUAUUGCCUGUAGGGAAUAAGUUUGACAUCUCGAGUCUCCCAUUCUCCUUGCGCUUGUCGGAUAAUCAAAUCUGAAUCUCCCAUGAUUAAUAAUUCUUCGAUAUCUUGGUCAAUUUCCAUGUUCAUACCCAUAAUGCAGGCUUCAUACUUGGCGGUGUUGUUUGUGUAGAAAAAUAGAAGUCGGGCCAUGGCUGGAUAAUGCUGACCAGUGGGUGAGAUCAAGAUUGCCCCGAUUCCAACACUUUUUGCAUUUACCACUCCAUCAAAGAACAUUUUCCAAGUAUUAAUAUCUUCGGAUAUUGCCUCAACUGAAUUUACCUCUUCAUCCGGGAAGUAAGUGCUCAAAGGUUGGUAUUCAUCAUCAACCGGUUUUUCAGCCGGGUGAUCUGCUAAUGCCUGGGCUUUCAUUGCUGUGCGAGUGACGUAGACUAUGUCAAAUUCCGUAAGUAGGAUCUGCCACUUCGCAACCUCUUAGUGGGCAUUGGCUUCUAGAAUAUGUAUUUUAAAGGAUCCAACCUGGUUAUGAGGUAAGUGGUGUAGGCCUGCAAAUAAUGCCUCAGCUUCUGAGUGACCCAAGUUAAAGCGCAGUAAGUUCUUUUCAGUAAAGUGUACUUGGCUUCAUAAUUGGUAAACUUUUUGCUCAAAUAGUAAAUGGCUUGCUCUGUCUUUCUGGUCACAUCAUGUUGCCCCGAGGUCACAACCAAAAGAAUUUUCCAAGAUGGUCAGAUACAGGAACAGAGGCCUCUCUGGCUCAGGUGGGACCAACACUGGCGGAUUCGACAGAUAUUCCUUGAUUUUAUGGAAAGCUUCUUGGCCCUCGUUUGUCCAUUUGAUCACCGCAUCUUUCUUUAACAACCUGAAUAUGGGUUCACAUGUGGAGGUCAACUAGGCAAUGAACCGACUGAUGUAGUUCCAUCUACCCAACAAACUCAUAACAUCCUUCUUGGUUUUCAGAGGAGACAAAUCCCGAAUGGUCUUUAUCUUUGUUGGAUCUAACUCAAUGCCCCUUCGGCUGACUACGAAACCCAAGAGUUUGCCAGAUGGGACUCCAAAUGCGCACUUGGCAGGGUUUAGCUUCAAAUCAUAUUUGCGUAGCCGCUCAAAGAAUUUUCUCAAGUUCCGAACAUGGUCAUCCUGAGUUUUGGAUUUGAUGAUUACAUCGUCCACGUAUACCUCUAUCUCUUGGUGCAUCAUAUCAUGAAAAAUGGCAGUCAUGACCCUCAUGUAGGUUGCCCCGACGUUCUUCAGACCAAAUGGCAUGCCUCUGUAACAGUUUGUACCCCAAGGUGUGGUAAAAGCUAUCUUUUCUACAUCUUCUUCAUCUAUCAACACCUGGUGAUAUCCUGCGUAACAAUCCACGAAGGACUGUAUCUCAUGUUUGGCGCAAUUAUCAACAAGUAUAUGGAUGUUAGGCAAAGGGAAGUUAUCUUUAGGACUUGCCUUGUUUAAAUCUCUGUAAUCCAUACAAACCCGGGUCUUCCCGUCUUUCUUUGGCACUGGAACUACAUUAGCUAGCCAUGUGGUAUAUCGAACUACUGGGAUCACCCCCGUUUUUAGCUGUUUCGUGACUUCUUCUUUGAUAUUGUCACUAAUGUCAGUUUUAAACUUUCUUUGCUUUUGCUGGACAAUGGGGUAGUCGGGGUAAGUCGGCAACUUAUGAACCACCAAAUCAACACUUAGUCCUGGCAUGUCGUCAUAUGACCAAGAAAACACAUCUUUGAACUCAAAUAGGAGUUGGAUUAAUGCGUCCCGGGUUUUUCCAUCUGUGUGAAUGCUUAUCUUGGUUUCCCUGAUUUCUUCAGAACUGCCCAAAUUAACUAGCUCGGUAUCAUUUAAGUUCGGCUUAGGUUUAUUCUCAAAUUGCUCCAACUCUCGAUUUAUUUCCCUAAAAGCCACUUCUUCAUCGUAUUUCAGUUCUUGGUUCAUUAUUUCACAGUUAGACAACGUGUUUGGAUCUGGGCAUGAAGUCCGCAAGCAUGUCAUGUUAUUUAAAGCCACAUUAUUAGAACUGAAAGAAUAAAUAAAAGAGAAAAAUAACUGAAUCAGAAAGAAUAAAGAAAGAUGAACGAUGAAAUAUUGAUUUCAUUUCAUUGAAUUUGAAGAUAACAGGGUUUACAUUGGAAAUUAAAAGACAAGAAACUAAAGAAAACAUCCGAGUUACACCCUGGAAUAACUCAUGAUGAAGAAAAAUUGGCAGGACAGGUCUACCGGGAUUCCUGCCUGAUUGGGAAUGGCGUGACCUCCAAUUCUGCAGUUUGGCAUUAGGUCCCAUAGACAGCACCUCAGCGGUGCUUGAGCCUUCCCCUGGUUGAACCAUGUGGGCUUCAUACAGUAUCUUCCUCAUAGCCCCACAGAUUGCUUCGAUUUUUUCGGCUGUAAAGGCCUUAUCUUCCUCUUCCUCAUUGUAUUUCGUCUUGAUAAAUGUGCUGUAUAGAUGCAACACCGGCUGAGGCAAGACCCAACCAUUAUUCUUUCUAUCAUCUUCCCAUUUUACAUCAGCUGGAGUAGGUCGGAAGCCUACCCCAAAGAACUUUUCACUGGCGGUCAGGGUGAUAGGUUCAGCUAUUCCUUGCAAUGAUUUCCCAAGCCCUUUCCCAGGUUUGUAGCCAUGCCUAAUCAUUCCUUUGGCCACCAUGAUUGAUGCAUUAGAAAGGAAGGGUUGAGGGAAAGGUUUUCCUUCUUCACACUGAUCAGUGACCACGAUUUCAAAGGCUUGUUAGACUAUGUGCUCGCUCCGUUGUCUUGCUUCAAGACACGGGACUGAUGGUCCCGAUAAAUUGAUUGUUCAUCUUCCCCCUGGACCACAAUCUCUUGAUCCUCGUGCUCGAACUUCACCAUCUGGUGAAGAGUAGAGGGUACAGCCCCCGCUGCAUGGAUCCAGGGCCUCCCCAAAAGAAAGUUGUAGGAUGUGUCCAUGUCCAGAACCUAGAAGGUUAUUUCAAAGUUUACUGGGCCGAUGGUCAGAAUCAGAUCAAUCUCUCCAAUCGUGUCCCUUUUGAUACCAUCGAAGGCACGUACACAGACGUUGUUGGGUCGGAUUCUUUUGGUACCGAUUUCCAUACGCUGUAGAGUUAAGAGCAGGCAAAUGUCUAACUCAGAGCCUCCGUCCAACAUAACCCUUUUCACGUAGUACCCUUCGCAUUUGACUGUCAGGUGCAGGGCUUUGUUAUGUGCGGCUCUUUCUGGGGGCAAGUCAUUUUUGCUGAAGGAGAUCUAGUUGAUUGCGAAAAUCUUUCGGCUAUUCUCUCCAACUGCUCUACAGAAGUCUUUCGAAAGAAGGCCUCCACUUCUUCGGCACUCACGGGCUUCUUAGAUGGGAAGCGCUUUCUAGUGGCAUUGUUCACCUCUUCCAAAUAGAAAUACUUUUCAGCUGGGUUAUUUUCUUGAACUUCUCCCCAUAUUUCUUUGCCUUUGUAAGUCACCACUGAUUUGUUGUAGUUCCAGGGCACAGCGGUAGGAUCCGUCAUGGGCUUUUGUGAUGUGCGGCUAAUAACUACGGGCUCACUCAGCCUUGGUGGAUUAAUUGGCCCCCACAUCACAUAAGCGCCCUUGGGCACAUACAUUUGGGUUUUCUUAUUCAGCUCGAAUCUCCUGGGAGGACUCAAAGUCAUCUACUUUUCUUUGCAGCCUCGAGGGACAUAGAGAACAACGUCUUUUGGAGGCAUUGCCCUAGUUUCAACUUCAACUUUCUUCUCUGACUUUGGAGGGGUGGUUUUGUUCUUUUUCUCCCCUUUAUCUUGCUUCCGGGCAGCUUUUGGUUUCUUUAUUACAUCAGUGAUGGAAAUGAUGUCCUUCAAUGCUGGGUCAAAUUCCUUGUCCUCACAAAUCAUUCCAAUUACCGGCCUGUUGUUGUGGGCCGGCAGUGGGUUGUUAGUCACAUUGGGAAUAUCUUUAUCCCUUAACACUAUCUUACUUUGUUCUAUCAAGUUCUCCACGGCUCUCUUUAGAGUCCAGCAAUCAUCUGUGUCAUGCCCUUCUGCCCUUGAGUGAUUGGCGCAUCGGGUACCGGCUGUGUAAGCGGGUGAUGCUGGGUUUUUCCUGGUUUGAGGAACAGGCUAUAGCAAACCCAUUUGAACAAGCUUUGGUAACAUUCUGGAGUAGAUUUUGCCAAUUGGUGUAAAAUUUGGCCUCUUGGGUAGUUCACGAAGGUGGAAAUUGUUUUGUGGAGGCUGGGGUUGUAGUGGUUUUGGUAAUGAGGUUGGUUUCUAGAGAAUGGAGCUUAGUUCCGGUUGGCUUGUUGUUAUGGCCGGACAUAAGGUUGAGCAUUCAUGACCGUGUAUGGCUGAGGAGCAUAUGUUACGUCUUGGUGGGGGUAAUAGUGUUGCGGGGUUUUUUCUGAGAAAAGGGAUCUGGGAGUACGGUGUUUUCUUGCACCCAACGCAGCCAUGGAUGUUUCUUCCUGUUUCUUGCCCUUCGCUACUCCUCCAGACCCACCCUGAAUGGCUUGGGAGGUAGCUCUGAUGGCGGAUUGGCUUAGAAUUCAAUCCGUUUUCAACCCAUUUUCAACCAUUUCGCCAAUCUUGAUGGCUUCAGCGAACGGUUUACCCAUUGCGGACAUCAUAUUUUGGAAGUAGUCAGCUUCCUGAGCUUGGAGGAAAAAUGUGACCAUUUCAAUCUCAUCCAUCAGAGGCUUUACCCUGGAGGCCUGUUCACUCUAUUUAACUGCGUACUCUCGGAAGCUUUCCGAGGAUUUCUUCUUCCAGUUUGUCAAUGAGUUCCUAUUUGAAGCAAUAUCAAUGUUGUACUGGAACUGCCUGACGAAAUCUCUAACAAGGUCAUCCCAGAUGUGCCAGCGGGAUAUAUCUUGGUCCAUGUACCACUCAGAUGUGAUGCCAACCAGACUUUCUCCGGAAUAGAUCAUGAGGAGUUCUUCCCUCCCACUGGCUCCUCGCAGCUGGUUGCAAUAUCUCUUGAGAUGAGCAAUAGGAUCACCGUUUCCAUCAUACUUCUCAAAUUUUGGGGUUUUGAAUCCCAAUGGCAGAUGCACAUGAGGGAACAUACAUAAGUCAGCAUAGGAUACACUUUUAUGUCCACUCAAGCCUUGUAUGCUUUUGAUACUCUGUUCCAUACUCCUCAUCUUCUUCGCAAUCUCUUCUUGCUCCGGGGUUUUUGUCGCUUUCUUAUGCCUUGCGGUGAACUCAUACCGGGGUGGUUGGGAGUAAGUAUAGGUGGGAAACUGUGUAGGUUCCAGUGGUAAAGAUGGUGUUUGGAAGGUGAAGGAGGAUGGGUCAAAGCUGGGCAUAGGCAGUGUAGGUUGUGCCGUAGCCGAACAAGGCGGAGCAGUGAAGAUAUUCGAAGCUGCACCUGAAUCUAACACCUGAGGGCGAGCCUUAGAAGGUAUUCCCACAAAGUUGGCGGAAAUAGUAGGGUAUCCUAGUGGGGUAUUUGGAUAGUUUAUUGGGCUGUUGGAGGUCCCACUUGCCCUGGGAAAAAGCUCGGGAAAUCCAGGGAUUGCACUUGGUGGUUCUCUUCCGUUUGCCCAGGCGUCCUAGAUUUCCAUCAUGCGGAGACGUAGUAACCUAUUUUCCUCGACAGAUGCCGAUUCUGGAGUUGGGAUGCCCGAGAUCGGACUCUCAUUCGUAAUAGGAACCGUUGGCAGAGUCAUUUCAAUGCUUCCCUUCGACCUCGUGAAGUAUGGAUGUGACGCCAGACUACCACAAAACCAAUCACCUUUCUUUAAAACCUAACUAACGGCAGACAACAAACUGGUCAGUUUGAAGCAAAUAACACAUAGGUAAUCACAUGUUGGGGUGUGAUGCACCUAUACAGUCAAAUGUGUUUCUACGUGUAUUGCAACGGUUGCAUGUUUCAUCCCAGCUUUACUUACUUUACCUGAUUUUCUCUUCUUUCCACUUCCAAUCUUCCACUUUUUUUUAUCUCUUUUCUCACUCUCAUUUCUCAGUUUUCCUUUGAUUUUUCUUCGGCUCUCUUUUCUUCCUUUUUUGGGUUUUUCUUAUGGGUCUUUCUUUUCACAUCUCUUUCUUCUUGGAGUUAUUUACAAAAUCGUGAUCGAAUACGAUGAAGAUUGCCUACGUAUCACGAUGCCGCGUGAAUCAAAUCAUUACGUAGUUCAAAAAAAAAUGCGAAAAAUAAAGAAAUUUUUUAUUUUAUUUUAUUUUUUGGGUAUUUUCGAUUUUUAAUAAUAAAAACUCCUAAACUUUUCUAUUACAAAGGACUUCAAACUACUCAUUUUCUUGGAACUGCAAACAAACUCAAAAUAAACCAAAAUACAUACUCGAUAAAUGAAAAAUCAGGAAUACAUUAAGGCUUCGACUCCUGGGCCCGUGGGACAUCAUUCGGUCCCGCCACGGGCCUAUAUGCGAGAUCCCCUUGAAGUCGCUCCAAAUCACUCAUUAUCUGGCGGACAAAUGUCCUCACUGCAGCGAAGAAAGUGGUUAGAGUCAUGUACUCACAUGCUUGGCAUUUCAUAACAAUGUAGUCGACAAUGGCUCUAACCCUUUCUCGGAUUCUACCCUUUUCCUGAAGCAGACGCCCGGCCUGCUGAUUCCUGGCUUCUAACACUUGAGAGUCGUGAAGGUGAUGAUUUUGCAAUUGUUGUAUUCCUUCCUCCAUCUGAGCCAUCAAAUCCUAACAGUGUUCCCUGCCAGCUUCGAAAUCUUUAGCCUGCUUGGUUGCCUCAUUCUCAAGAGUAGUUACCUUUCUUCUCAGACUGGUGAUUGUCCCUUCAUAUUUUCUCUUCAUUUGUUGUACAAACUGUGUCCAACCUUUUGCAUUUACCACUAAUUAAGCCCGGGCUUUUGCUAGAUUGGCCUCAGACUUUUCUAGGUCAUCUUGACACUCAAGGGCUUUCUUUUUCAGACUGCUUAUAAGCCUUUCAUCUGCUCGGCUUCUUUCCGGGUUUCUAGCAGCUAUUUUCAUCUUCCUGAUUUGAGCUUUGAGAUUCAGUUUCUUGAGUUAGUUUUUUCUUUUCUCCCUCAUCUGUGGUGGCUUGCAAACUAUUUUCAAACUGAAGGUCCAUGACUUGCCUUUCUAACUGGCUUAUUUUGGCCCUAUAGCUUUCUUCUUUUGCCAACCAGCCCCACUGUUCUUGCGAGUCGCUAGUAAAUUGUUGAACAUGGGCUCUCUUAGCAGGUCUCUCAGGAAUCUGAAAUCUUUUACCGAACCAAAAAAUGUACUUAGGGUCCACUUCACCUCUAGCUAGAUCUCGCACCAUGGUCUUAGGUUCAAGAAAUCUACAUUCAUUCCACACAUGGCGAAUUCUCCCUUCUGAAAAUACGGCUUUUGGGCCCAAUUCAAUGACAUGUUUACUCAAAUCUUCGUCAUGGGGGACGGUUUGAAAUCUUCCUAAUUGGCGCAAAACCCUGUGGGGAGCAUACGGCUGGAUGCUCCGGAUGCCCAUCAGGAAGAGAUAACACACUUCAGCUGACAUGUAUACUGCUUCGGUGACAGGAAGCCAUCCGAAUGCCCACUCAAUUUUAUCGGCAGUCAAUGAGCUCAAAUGUGCAAGCCAAGCUUCAGUCCCCUCGGGGAAUUCAAUACCCACUACUCGGCUUUCAAAUUCUUCAAUGCAACUCAAACCGGUCAUACCGUAAUUCAUAUACCCAACUCGGUGGCAGAGAUGUUCCUGCAUCCAUAAUUGUAAUAACAGAUUGCAGCCUUGGAAGAACUUUCCCCCUCCCCGACAAAUAGUCAAGGCUCGGUAGAUUUCAGAUAAGAUCAGGGGAACUACAGUGUCAUUGGCUUUCUUGAUUGCAACAUCGAUCAUUCCUACGAGACCUACCUCUAUAUUAUCAUCUUUUCGCGGGAAGACUACAACACCCAAGAAUGCUACUAUAAAAGCAAAACCCCGCCUUGCCUCACAUUUGUCUUUAUUCCCGGCAUGGGUCACACCAGUGUUCGGCUUUUCAAAACCUCGAGGGUUACCAUAGCGUUGAUACAAGAACUGGAAAGUGCAAUAACCUUUAGAUAAACUUCCAUCCUGGAUAUUCUGACUAAUACUCAACAGAUCCAGAAAUUUGUGGGGAGAUACCAGUCUUGGUGACACUGGAUAUCGACUUCUAAGGUUUCCAUUAAGGCCCGCAUAACCGCAACAUCCUCUAGCGUGGGUGUGAUCUCAAAGUUAGAGAAACGGAACACAUUGCGAGUUGGGUCCCAAAAAGGUACUAAAGCUUCAAUUAUGUCCAACCUUGGCUUGAUGUUCAACAGUCCGACGAGGCCUCCCAGAACUUUUACCACAGUUUCUCUACUGCCUUUUCCUAGAUCAUUCCACCACAUGUGGAGCUGUAAGGGGAUCUCUUUAAGGGCUGUGAAGGGUUCAAUUUCAUUUGUGCUCAUCCUGCACAUUUAUUAAGGUGAUUUAAUAACUCAUUUUGACCCAAAAGAGUAACACUAUUUUUUCAAAAUUUUACUUAAAAAUAAAACCCGAUUUUGCAGAUAGGGCCUUUCAGCACUUCGGGGAAGAAGAUUUUAAGGCUGUGCUUACUAAUCGGUCGAAAAAUAAAAAAUAAAAAACAAAAUGACCAGAGGUGGCCGUUCUUGCAAAAACAGCCUUCUGGCGCCCUUUUGGGGACAUUCGGCUUAUUUAAGAUAAGAAUGACAUCACCCUACUUAUUUGUGACUAAAACUAAAAUUGUGUUGUUUUUGGGCUAUUUUUGCAAAAGGGAAUUCGACCCGAUGAGGGUUGCCUACGUAUCCCACAUCCAGUGAGAAUCAAACUGGUGUAGUUUGGGAAGAUUGGACGAAAAUAAACCAAUUAUUUUUCAAACAGAAAUAUUUUGUCAAAAUUUUGACAGAGUUUCUGCAUAUUUUUGGACACUGAUUUUCAAAACAUGUGAUUAUCUCUCCGAGCCCUCACAUUGAUUUUCUUUUCCCAACUUUUCUCCUAUUAUUCAUAAGUCGGUCAACAUACAAAUUCGAAGCAAAUAAAUGCACAAGUAGCAAGUAGGAUGCAUCAGGAUGUUCUUUCCUUUUGGGCUACACCUGUCUUAGACAGACCCAACCCCUAUGUUGAGUCUCGUAAGUCAAAUGCAUGUGAUGCAAACAAACAAUCCUACUAGGGAUCCGGCAUGAGCCUUUGUUAUACUAGGUUUGAAACUUGGGUUUAUUGUUCUAGACCUGGCUUACCCGAACGGACAACUCGAGCCGAGGGGGGGUAGCGUACCGGGAAUACAGAAGCUUCAUCGGCUUUGCAACUUGUCCGAGCCUCGUUCUAAAAUUGGGUAAGACUCUAAACAGAAGUGAAGUCACACGAAGUGCACCCUUUUCCAUGAUUUAGAAGACUUAGAGAGAGGAAGGGUUUCGUAGCAGUUUAUAUACAGUUCACAUAAAAUCAAAGCGGUAAAAAGCGGCAUUUAGCACAUUAGGCUCAAACAUGUAAAAAAAUCAGAUAACAGAUAAAGCCAAUCAUAACAGCUAUUCUAAGCUCGAAUUCUUGAACCCUGAACCAGAGAUUCUGGGUUCGAUCCCCAGCCGAGUCGCCAGAGCUGUCACACCUUUUUUUACACAACCGAAGGUAGUACAAGGGAGUUUUUCCACUUUAAGUGACAUUAUUCGAAAUAGGAUUAUUUAUUUAUUUUUGUUCAGAGUCGCCACAUGGGAUGGUUUGUUUUCUGGUGUCCCAAGUCACCGAUUUAUUUUUAAAUCCCAAAUCGAGGAAGAUUUCGACUUUCCUUUUGAGGUCUGCGAAACAGAAAUUCUGAGUAAGGAAUUCUGUUAACCCGAGGGAAGGUAUUAGGCAUUCUCAGAUUCCGUGAUUCUAACAUGGUCACUUAAACUAUUAUAAUCAGCCUAUUAUCUGAUUUUAAUACAUGUUUUAGCCUAUGGUACAUUUUAACUUUAUUAAAUCGCUUUUAAUUAUUUUUAGGAAGAUUCAACGUUAUUUAAAACAUGUCUUGAACCACGCCACAUGAAAUGUACCCGCGAUCCACGACACAUUUUAUUUAACAUUGUUGAGAAUUGGAGUUGGGUCACAUCAAAUGCAUACCCGAGUUUAAGGAAAUUAAUUUAGUAGCACACCUAAAUUAAUUUGUGAAGGCCAUGAAAAAUUAAACUAAUGGCACACCUCGAUUUUUAAAGGGUUAAAAUUAAUUAAGUGAGGGCCAUGGUUUUGGGAUUUUAUUUGGCAUGGCACGCCCCAUGUUAUUACAAAAGGGUUUUAUUAUUCGAAGUUGUUAUAAUCGGGUCACAUGAAAUGCACCCCAAAUUUGGGAAUUAGGUAUCGUAACUAUGUCACGGGACCGUACCCACAAUCACGAUAAAUUAUUAAUCGUGCCUGAGGCAAGCUACGAUGUUUGUGAUUUAUCUCCUAAAAUUAAUUUGAAAUCAAGCGAAACACUGAUUUUUGGGUAUGGAAUUAUUAUGAAAGAAAUAUAUAUUUGCAACCACAUAAUAACAGGGCAUAUCACUUUAACUUCAUUUCUAACCGGCAGAAUUAUUCAACCAUGCUGAUUACUCAAUUUGUCAUGAGACAUCUACGAUGAACCUUGAUGUAAUUGUACUACUAAUAUGACGGGAAUAUGUAAAACAUGACAGUAUAGGUGUGAUUGUAUAUUGAGUUCAAUUUACAACAUAAAACCAAAGUUAUCCACCUUGGUACACAUUACUCGUCAUUGUUUUUCCUUUUUUUUUUUGAAUGAGCUUAAAUAGCGUUACAUUGGCCAGAAGUUCUUCACGGAAAACAAACCAAGUAAUAAUGAAAAGUCAAUUAAAGCUUUAGUUUUCAUGUAGAAAGUUUCAAUUUACAGCACGAAGACCUCCUAUUAUAGUAUUACAAGAUUCAAACAAUGAGAAAAUUUCUCUUUACAAAGGCAUCCUUUUACUUUCUGAUUAAAAUUAACACAGAUGACAUUUAUUUCAUACUAAAACUAAACCAAGAUCGACAAACUCACAGUACACAGCAGAUGAAUCAGAGAGCAAUCAUAGCUUCAUAUUAAUAGAUUUUACAAUAGUUUGAGGAGAAACCAUACCUAACAGCUCGAAGCUUCAACUUAGAGGAAGAGAAAGCCAAAUAGAGGCUAGAACAGCUAAUUAGAGUCCCACUAUGCAGAGAACAGCAAAAUCAACAGCGCUUUUUAACCAAAAAUGUUUAGAAAACCAGACACAUGGAGAUAAACUGCAGCAAACUCAAUCAAUUCGGAAAAUAUCCUUCCUGUCCUCUUUCUUUUUAUUUAUGUUUUCUUCUUCUUUUGCGGAAUUUCAGUGCUCUAAAUCAGAGAGUGCUCCCUUUCUUUUGCUCUUGCGUGUGGGUGAGGAUCUAUAAGAGAAGAGUGAGUGAGAUGAAUUUUGGGAGGUCAGUGAAGGUCGCUAGAGUCGCGUGAGAGGAGGUGAGCCAGUUCCCUGAAUUUUGUGUGUGUUUUUCUAUGGAUAUUGAAUAAGAAGAAGAAAGAAGCUCUCUGUGUUGCACCAUUUUUUUAGGGGUAGAGAAAUCUGAUCUUUUAGCCUGGAUAAAUGAAGAAGAAGAUGAAGAAGAUCUCUUCUCUUGUUUUUGCUUGGGAGCCCAUUUCUAAAAAAAAAUAUGAUGUGUGUCUUAUGCCCAGAAAAUGAUGAAGAUUGGGUGGAGGAAAUAUUUUUGGGGAGAGUGGGGAACAUGAGUGGGGAAAGUGGGGAGAGUGUG